UACGUAGGGUGCAAGCGUUGUCCGGAAUUAUUGGGCGUAAAGAGCUCGUAGGCGGUUUGUCACGUCUGCUGUGAAAAUCCAGGGCUUAACCCUGGACCUGCAGUGGGUACGGGCAGACUGGAGUGCGGUAGGGGAGAUCGGAAUUCCUGGUGUAGCGGUGGAAUGCGCAGAUAUCAGGAGGAACACCAAUGGCGAAGGCAGAUCUCUGGGCCGUAACUGACGCUGAGGAGCGAAAGCAUGGGGAGCGAACAGG
RNAcentral lists this ribosomal RNA (253 nucleotides) under uncultured bacterium. RNAcentral describes it as "partial 16S ribosomal RNA". It matches the Rfam family "Bacterial small subunit ribosomal RNA", at positions 524 to 776 of the family's 1533-position model. The record is from RNAcentral.